AGAGUUUGUUCCUGGCUCAGGACGAACGCUGGCGGCGCGCCUAACACAUGCAAGUCGAACGGAGCUUAAAGAGCUUGCUUUUUAAGCUUAGUGGCGAACGGGUGAGUAACGCGUGAGUAACCUGCCCUGGAGUGGGGGACAACAGUUGGAAACGACUGCUAAUACCGCAUAAGCCCACGGAUUCGCAUGGAUCUGCGGGAAAAGGAUUUAUUCGCUUCAGGAUGGACUCGCGUCCAAUUAGCUAGUUGGUGAGGUAACGGCCCACCAAGGCGACGAUUGGUAGCCGGACUGAGAGGUUGAACGGCCACAUUGGGACUGAGACACGGCCCAGACUCCUACGGGAGGCAGCAGUGGGGGAUAUUGCACAAUGGGGGAAACCCUGAUGCAGCGACGCCGCGUGGAGGAAGAAGGUUUUCGGAUUGUAAACUCCUGUCGUUAGGGACGAUAAUGACGGUACCUAACAAGAAAGCUCCGGCUAACUACGUGCCAGCAGCCGCGGUAAUACGUAGGGAGCGAGCGUUGUCCGGAAUUACUGGGUGUAAAGGGAGCGUAGGCGGGAUGGCAAGUCAGAUGUGAAAACUAUGGGCUCAACCCAUAGACUGCAUUUGAAACUGUUGUUCUUGAGUGAGGUAGAGGUAAGCGGAAUUCCUGGUGUAGCGGUGAAAUGCGUAGAGAUCAGGAGGAACAUCGGUGGCGGAGGCGGCUUACUGGGCCUUUACUGACGCUGAGGCUCGAAAGCGUGGGGAGCAAACAGGAUUAGAUACCCUGGUAGUCCACGCCGUAAACGAUGGAUACUAGGUGUAGGAGGGUAUCGACCCCUUCUGUGCCGGAGUUAACGCAAUAAGUAUCCCGCCUGGGAAGUACGAUCGCAAGAUUUAAACUCAAAGGAAUUGACGGGGGCCCGCACAAGCGGUGGAGUAUGUGGUUUAAUUCGACGCAACGGGAAGAACCUUACCAAGCCUUGACAUUGAUCGCAAUCCGCAGAAAUGCGGAGUUCCUCUUCGGAGGACGAGAAAACAGGUGGUGCACGGCUGUCGUCAGCUCGUGUCGUGAGAUGAUGGGUUAAGUCCCGCAACGAGCGCAACCCCUAUCUUCUGUUGCCAGCACGUAAAGGUGGGAACUCAGGAGAGACCGCCGCGGACAACGCGGAGGAAGGUGGGGAAGACGUCAAAUCAUCAUGCCCUUUAUGACCUGGGCUACACACGUACUACAAUGGCGUUUAACAAAGAGAAGCAAGACCGCGAGGUGGAGCAAAACUCAAAAACAACGUCUCAGUUCAGAAAGCAGGCUGCAACUCGCCUGCAUGAAGUCGGAAUUGCUAGUAAUCGCGGAUCAGCAUGCCGCGGU
Molecule: ribosomal RNA, 1347 nt
Filed under: uncultured bacterium
Lineage: Bacteria
Description: bacterial SSU rRNA
Rfam family: Bacterial small subunit ribosomal RNA
Source: RNAcentral